UCUAAUAUGGCAGAUUAGUGCAAUGAAUUUAAGAUUCAUAUAUAAAAUAUUAUUUUUAUUAGAA
This 64-nucleotide transfer RNA is filed under the name Maoricicada clamitans. RNAcentral describes it as "tRNA-Leu". Lineage: Eukaryota; Metazoa; Arthropoda; Insecta; Hemiptera; Cicadidae. RNAcentral also lists the same sequence under 6 other names. The record is from RNAcentral.